AGUUAACGGAUAUUAAAUUUGUCGUGUCAUAGAGCGCGUUAAAUCAAAGUAUAUUUUGUUCUUUAAUAAUUCAAAUGUAUUUAAUAAUAGUGUGAAUAGUUUUCAUUUAAAGCGUAGUAAAACUAGUGAAGGCGGUGUAGUGUAAAUAAGUAGUACAAAUCGUAAAGUAAUUAGAAAAAGUGAUUUAAGUGCAAUUGCAAAGCGCUUAGCAGCCACAAGGGCUGUACUGAGCUGCUCUUUGAUUGAAAAUCAUGAGCAGAAGCACAAACAAUACUUUUUUUCUAAUAUGUAUACAAUUGUGUAGUAAAAUUUGUUAUUGUGCAUUAAAUUUAAUGAAUACGCAAAGUGUUGAUUCGUAAUUAUAGUGUGUAUGCGCGACCAAAUAAUGUGUAAAGUUGUUUAAAGCCUUGAAUUUAUAUUACGGGAACAAUAUGCAGUUGCCAAGAAUUAUCUUCAAACAGCAAUAAAUAUAUUAACGACAUAAGAAAGAGCUUACAACAAUAUCUCUGCAGAAGCGAAGCUGCAAUCUCAUACUCACUCAGUUGCUACUAACAAGAAAGCAGUUAAAAAAGUAUGCCAAAAUGGGUGACUACUUUUGCAGUAUACCGCAGACUCACCACCGUUUAGUUGCACUGGACAGAAAUCGCAGAAAGUCGUUGUAUGAUCGCUACACUACAAUUGGAGCUUGGAGCUUUAAGCGCAUUAUAUUACCAAAAAUGGUUUACGGACCUCCGCCGUCAUUGAGCUUUUUCUCGAAGCUUACAUCGUUGUGCGUCUGAGGUAGUUCUUACGUUAAUUUGUUUCUGCUGCGAUUUAAUUACUCAAUAUGCUCUUAAUUACUUAAUAUAAAAUACCGUUAUUUUGGAGCUCUUCAAUACACUGGAAGGAAAGUCUUCACAUCGAUCCACAAGUCCACAUUCCUCAAGAUUGGCGAUGAUUACUGCAUGCCAGCUUUUGCGAAUGCAAGUCUUUGUGAGGUGGUCUGUAUCCGAUUUUUAAGAUGUUGAAGAGCUGCUGUGCUAUUCUUGGAUUAAAUAAAGGGAACUCGAAUAAAGCUUGCCCUGGACUUGUUUAGAUCAUCAAAGUGCUAUUAUUUUUGGCGGCACUGUAUGUAUGCACACUUCUCAGCUUUCCCGUCAGACCAAGGCAAUUGAAGUCCCGCGAAAGUCACGUUAUUUCCUGAACAGAUAACGGAAGUAUUUAGUCCAAAAAUAGCAAUAAAAAACUUGGGGUUAAGCACGUAAAUGAAACAAGUCGAAAGUAAACACACAAAAAAAGUAAAACGAAACAUAAAAUUUAUAAAUUUGCAAAAAAAUGUUAACACAAAUGGAAAAAAUAAAUGCCACAAAUGCAAAAAUUUGCAAGUUUUUUCUUAAAA
Non-coding RNA from Bactrocera oleae (olive fruit fly), 1378 nucleotides. Lineage: Eukaryota; Metazoa; Arthropoda; Insecta; Diptera; Tephritidae. The record is from RefSeq and is a predicted model, not a curated record.